AGACCCGAAACCCGGUGAUCUAGCCAUGGGCAGGUUGAAGGUUGGGUAACACUAACUGGAGGACCGAACCGACUAAUGUUGAAAAAUUAGCGGAUGACCUGUGGCUGGGGGUGAAAGGCCAAUCAAACCGGGAGAUAGCUGGUUCUCCCCGAAAGCUAUUUAGGUAGCGCCUCGUGAAUUCAUCUCCGGGGGUAGAGCACUGUUUCGGCUAGGGGGCCAUCCCGGCUUACCAACCCGAUGCAAACUGCGAAUACCGGAGAAUGUUAUCACGGGAGACACACGGCGGGUGCUAACGUCCGUCGUGAAGAGGGAAACAACCCAGACCGCCAGCUAAGGUCCCAAAGUCAUGGUUAAGUGGGAAACGAUGUGGGAAGGCCCAGACAGCCAGGAUGUUGGCUUAGAAGCAGCCAUCAUUUAAAGAAAGCGUAAUAGCUCACUGGUCGAGUCGGCCUGCGCGGAAGAUGUAACGGGGCUAAACCAUGCACCGAAGCUGCGGCAGCGAACGUAUCACCCAAGACAACUUUACGGAGUUGACGAUUGACGGAGCGAAGCGACGUCAAAGCGUUCAUUAAAGUCGAGUUGGCUUAGGGAUACGUUCGUUGGGUAGGGGAGCGUUCUGUAAGCCUGUGAAGGUGGCCUGUGAGGG
This 646-nucleotide ribosomal RNA is filed under the name Salmonella enterica subsp. enterica serovar Heidelberg. RNAcentral's name for it is "partial 23S ribosomal RNA". It matches the Rfam family "Bacterial large subunit ribosomal RNA", at positions 711 to 1269 of the family's 2925-position model. Lineage: Bacteria; Pseudomonadati; Pseudomonadota; Gammaproteobacteria; Enterobacterales; Enterobacteriaceae. The record is from RNAcentral. RNAcentral also lists the same sequence under 2 other names.